GAAGGCAGCAGAAAGGGACCGAGAAAAGGCCAUUCCUGGACACCCACUCAAUAGGUGUAUUGAGUCUUUGGACAAAAAAUUUCAACUCAGCAACCAAACUGAAUACUGUUUAAAGAGGAAGGAAGGAAGAAUGCUUCAAUGUCUUACGUUCUAACUGGGAAAAGAAGACCCGUGUACAGAAGUUUUGUCCUCCCCCAGGAUCAUAAAUAACCUCCAAAGUAAAAGCACAUCCGUGACUAUUUGGACAACUUGUAGGUAGGUGGUGGAGCAAAAGAAACCUAAACUGAAAGCAAUCUUGCCAUUCAACACAAGAUUCAUGGUAUCCAGGAGCUCGCCUGUUCGUUGCAUCUUCAAGGAGACCCAGCAUGCUAGCAAAGUUGCCUGAUAAAUAUGCCACAUCUCUCUGCACAGGUUCAAACGCAUCCCUGGUCAUGUCAGCAUUUUGAUGCUUCCUGGGGGCCCUUCUCUUUCUCAUUAGCAUUUUCAGAAGGUUAUAUGACUCAAAUCUAUUAAGCAGAUAACCCCCGCCCCCAGCAAGUUGUGAGGGGCUAGAGAGAGAGAAGACAGGGCAAUGAACUUGGAGGAGAUUCACACCCCUGCCCCACAUUCUUCUGGGAACUGGAAAGUCUGUGUCUUUUGCGAUGAAAGAACAGGUUAUGACCCCUUCAGACACUGUCUCUGGAGAGGUAAAGUUCACAAGCUGCAGAGGAGGGGGCACUCAUCCUAAAGGAUCCUUGCUGCUGACUCCAUCUCUGUCCUUGAAGAGACCUUUUUUGCUUCUCUAGACACUUGUAGGCACCCUGGUGAGUUGACCCCAGGGACUCACAUUUCAUUUUGAGACCAGUCCUCUGGCUGUCACAUUCACUUCAACUUAACCCCCUCCUUUCAUGGGAAUGACCUAGAGAUGGCUGCCUGAAGGAGACAGUGUGUCUCUGGUGUUUGGCAGAACAUAUAAUGAUGGUCCCUUCUCAAGAAUAGGGAGGAGAGAUGAUGGUGAAACACAGGCACAGGGGUGCCUCUGUCUAGCUAUUUAGGAGUUGUUGAACUAAAAGACUGAUUUUAGAAAGUGGUAGCUCAGAGCAGAACACAGCUCCCAUGCUGUUUGAGGGAAAGAGAUCAGGAAACAAAAGGUUUUAAGUCAGGAGCAAUUCUGACUUAAUAGAAACUGGUAGCUUCUUUGGACCAACUCGUAAGUGGAUUUGAAGAUAGAGACAGAAUGUUUUUGGAAAUCCUCUUAAAGUAACCCUGGAAGGAGGAUAGCCUGGGCUUGGCUCCUUAAUAGAGGUAUCCAGAAGAAAUUAAGUAAUUUUCAUUCCCUGAUCUGGAUAAGGCUAGAAAGGUAUUGAUUCUCUACAGGCAAAUGCAGAUUCACCAGCAUGAAUUCAUUUGUAUUGUCUGCAAGCAAGUCGUCCUCUUUUAUAUGAAAAAUGAUUUGGAACAGGUUUUAGGAUGAGAAAUCUGGUGCAGUUCAGCGGGAUGGAUUUAGGAGGGAAGAGGUGGUGAGAGGAAGUCGUUAGAAGGCUCUUGUGAUUGAAUAUUAAGAUCAUGGAGCCUGGAAUUGCAAUGGUAGCCCUGGAACUGGAGAAGAAUUUGUUACUGAUCAAAAAGGCCUUGCAGGAAAGUUCUUCAACAAAAAAGAAAAAAAAUGGGCAAAAUGUGGGAAAAAAUACUUGCCACAAAUAUGAUGGACAAAAGUGAAUAUUCUAAACAUUUAAAAAACGUAUGGAGAGGAGAGUUCCCAUCAUGGUGCAGUGGAAACAAAUCCGACUAGGAACCAUGAGGUUGAAGGUUUGUUCCCUGGCCUCGUUCAGUGGGUUAAGGAUCUGGCAUUGCUGUGUGCUAUGGUGCAGGUCACAGAUGCAGCUCAGAUCUGGUGCUGCUGUUGCUCUGGCAUAGGCUGGCAACUGUAGCUCCAAUUAGACCCCUAGCCUGGGAACCUCCAUAUGCUGUGGGUGUGGCCCUGAAAAAAGACAAAAAGACAAAAGACAAAAAAUAAAUAAAAUUUAAAAAUUAAAAAUUAAAAACAUAUGGACAAAAAAACACAGAGAUCCAACAGCCCUAAGGGCAGAGGGAAUGGAUGGGAAAUUCCCAUAGAAAGAAUAUAGAUGAGGUAAUAUACAUGCAGAAAUGUUUAGCCUCACUAGUGGUUAACAAACUAAAAAUUUAAACAGUGAUUUUUUUUUUUUUAGCAAUCACAUAAUUCAUUUAAAAAUGAUAAUGUUCAUACAGCAUGGUUAAUGUGUUAAUUGGCAUAAUAUUUCUGGAAAGGACUUUGAUGAUAUAACAGAAAAUUUUAAAAUGUUUCCACCCUUUGAUUCACAUUCUACUUUUCAAUGACUAUCCUAAAGAUGUAAGUUAUUAACACAGACUUACUUGUUUAUCAAGGUGGUUUUUAGAAUAGCAAAAGCAAGGAAGACAGGGAAACAACCAAAUGUCCAAUACCGGGGACGUGUUGAAUAAAUUAUGACAUAUUCUACCAUAUGAUGAACCAUUAAGAAAUUAUUAAAGUUGUAUUUUCUUCACAGUGAAAAUAUCUUUAUAUAAUGCUAAUACAUGUUUUUAUGCAACAUAUAGUUAUUUCACGAUAUGAUUUCAAUUGUUUAUAUAUGUGCAUGCAUUAUUCUAUGAAUAUACAUAAAAGGUAUGAUCAAAACAAAA
This 2658-nucleotide long non-coding RNA is filed under the name Sus scrofa (pig). Its description in RNAcentral is "lncRNA (ENSSSCG00025014625.1)". Lineage: Eukaryota; Metazoa; Chordata; Mammalia; Artiodactyla; Suidae. The record is from RNAcentral.